CUACGGGGCGCUCCAGUGAGGAAUAUUGCGCAAUGGACGAAAGUCUGACGCAGCGACGCCGCGUGAAGGACGAAGCCUUUCGGGGUGUAAACUUCUUUUCUGAGGGAAGAAUUUCACGAUUUAUCGUGAAUUGACUGUACCUUAGGAAUAAGCUCCGGCUAACUACGUGCCAGCAGCCGCGGUAAUACGUAGGGAGCAAGCGUUGUCCGGAUUUACUGGGCGUAAAGGGCGUGUAGGCGGGACGGUAAGUUGGAGGUGAAAUCUGCAGGCUUAACUUGCAAAUUGCCUUCAAAACUGCCGUUCUCGAGUGCAGGAGAGGGCAGUGGAAUUCCUGGUGUAGCGGUGGAAUGCGCAGAUAUCAGGAGGAACACCGGUGGCGAAGGCGGCUGCCUGGCCUGACACUGACGCUAAGGCGCGAAAGCGUGGGUAGCAAACAGGAUUAGAUACCCCAGUAGUC
Molecule: ribosomal RNA, 457 nt
Filed under: uncultured bacterium
Lineage: Bacteria
Description: partial 16S ribosomal RNA
Rfam family: Bacterial small subunit ribosomal RNA
Source: RNAcentral